GACGAACGCUGGCGGCGUGCUUAACACAUGCAAGUCGAACGGAAAGGCCCUGCUUUUGUGGGGUGCUCGAGUGGCGAACGGGUGAGUAACACGUGAGUAACCUGCCCUUGACUUUGGGAUAACUUCAGGAAACUGGGGCUAAUACCGGAUAGGAGCUCCUGCUGCAUGGUGGGGGUUGGAACGUUUCGGCGGUUGGGGAUGGACUCGCGGCUUAUCAGCUUGUUGGUGGGGUAGUGGCUUACCAAGGCUUUGACGGGUAGCCGGCCUGAGAGGGUGACCGGCCACAUUGGGACUGAGAUACGGCCCAGAUUCCUACGGGAGGCAGCAGUGGGGAAUAUUGCACAAUGGGCGGAAGCCUGAUGCAGCAACGCCGCGUGCGGGAUGACGGCCUUCGGGGUGUAAACCGCUUUCGCCUGUGACGAAGCGUGAGUGACGGUAAUGGGUAAAGAAGCACCGGCUAACUACGUG
RNAcentral lists this ribosomal RNA (468 nucleotides) under uncultured bacterium. RNAcentral's name for it is "partial 16S ribosomal RNA". It matches the Rfam family "Bacterial small subunit ribosomal RNA", at positions 28 to 507 of the family's 1533-position model. The record is from RNAcentral.